RNAcentral lists this ribosomal RNA (801 nucleotides) under Bacillus pumilus. RNAcentral's name for it is "bacterial SSU rRNA". It matches the Rfam family "Bacterial small subunit ribosomal RNA", at positions 29 to 839 of the family's 1533-position model. The record is from RNAcentral. Lineage: Bacteria; Bacillati; Bacillota; Bacilli; Caryophanales; Bacillaceae.
GUCGACGCUGGCGGCGUGCCUAUACAUGCAGUCGAGCGGACAGAAGGGAGCUUGCUCCCGGAUGUUAGCGGCGGACGGGUGAGUAACACGUGGGUAACCUGCCUGUAAGACUGGGAUAACUCCGGGAAACCGGAGCUAAUACCGGAUAGUUCCUUGAACCGCAUGGUUCAAGGAUGAAAGACGGUUUCGGCUGUCACUUACAGAUGGACCCGCGGCGCAUUAGCUAGUUGGUGAGGUAACGGCUCACCAAGGCGACGAUGCGUAGCCGACCUGAGAGGGUGAUCGGCCACACUGGGACUGAGACACGGCCCAGACUCCUACGGGAGGCAGCAGUAGGGAAUCUUCCGCAAUGGACGAAAGUCUGACGGAGCAACGCCGCGUGAGUGAUGAAGGUUUUCGGAUCGUAAAGCUCUGUUGUUAGGGAAGAACAAGUGCAAGAGUAACUGCUUGCACCUUGACGGUACCUAACCAGAAAGCCACGGCUAACUACGUGCCAGCAGCCGCGGUAAUACGUAUGUGGCAAGCGUUGUCCGGAAUUAUUGGGCGUAAAGGGCUCGCAGCGUUUCUUAAGUCUGAUGUGAAAGCCCCCGGCUCAACCGGGGAGGUCAUUGGAAACUGGGAAACUUGAGUGCAAAAAGGAGAGUGAAUUCCACGUGUAGCGGUGAAUGCGUAAAGAUGUGGAGGACCCAGUGGCGAAGGCACUCCUUGUUGUAACUGACCUGAAGACAAGUUGGGAACAACGGAUUAAUCCUGGUUUCCCCCCUAAAUUAUGCAGGUAAGGUUCCCCCUUUAUGCCACUAG